UACGGAGGGUGCGAUCGUUAAUCGGAAUUACUGGGCGUAAAGCGCGCGUAGGCGGUUUGUUAAGUCGGAUGUGAAAUCCCCGGGCUCAACCUGGGAACUGCACCCGAUACUGGCCGACUUGAGUGCGAGAGAGGGAGGUAGAAUUCCACGUGUAGCGGUGAAAUGCGUAGAUAUGUGGAGGAAUACCGGUGGCGAAGGCGGCCUCCUGGCUCGACACUGACGCUGAGGUGCGAAAGCGUGGGGAGAAAACAGG
Molecule: ribosomal RNA, 253 nt
Filed under: uncultured bacterium
Lineage: Bacteria
Description: partial 16S ribosomal RNA
Rfam family: Bacterial small subunit ribosomal RNA
Source: RNAcentral